Gorilla gorilla gorilla (western lowland gorilla) is the source of this 102-nucleotide unclassified non-coding RNA. It matches the Rfam family "Y RNA". From Rfam's summary of the family: Y RNAs are components of the Ro ribonucleoprotein particle (Ro RNP), in association with Ro60 and La proteins. The Y RNAs and Ro60 and La proteins are well conserved, but the function of the Ro RNP is not known. The record is from Ensembl. NCBI's taxonomy places the organism in Eukaryota, Metazoa, Chordata, Mammalia, Primates, Hominidae.
AGUUGGUCCCAGUGCAGUGGUAUUUACAACUAAUGGAUCACAACCAGUUACAGGCUUAUUUGUUCCUUCUCCACCCUCAUUGCUUCACUUGACUAGCCUGAA